Long non-coding RNA from Mangifera indica (mango), 1758 nucleotides. RefSeq lists it as uncharacterized. The transcript has 3 exons. Lineage: Eukaryota; Viridiplantae; Streptophyta; Magnoliopsida; Sapindales; Anacardiaceae. The record is from RefSeq and is a predicted model, not a curated record.
GAUAGAAGAAGGCAUUCCAACUAGCAUAAUCCAUCUCCUUAUCAUGAUCGAUGUCGAAAUGGGCAAGGCACUAAUUAGAUGGGGAUUGCACGAACUCAACUCUCUUAAAAGUCUUUGGAUAGGUGGAUUUGAAGAUUCUAGGUUGAUUCUAUUGGAGGACCAACGAAUGCCCCUUUCUCUUGAAGAUUUGAUCAUUUCUAAUUUGGCACUAUUGAAAUCUAUUUCAGAGUUGGGCACAUUCACCUCUCUUGAGAGAUUGAUAAUUCUGAAUUCAAAUCUCAACUCAAUUCUAGACUUAGGAAGCCUGGUAUCACUUAAAAGCUUCAGUAUUGAGAAAUGCCCAAAGAUCAAAUCAAUUCCAGGUUUUGGAAGCCACCACACCUUUGAGGAAUUGCAUAUUUCAGAAUGCCCAGAGCUCGAAUCAGUUGCAUGCCUGAGAAAUCUUACUUCUCUUCAAACUUUUAGGAUUUUUGAUUGCCCAAAGCUCAAAUCCCUCACAAGCCCGCCACUCUCACUUUUGCAAUUAAAAAUUGACAGAUGUCCAUUGAUAAAAAAACAUUGGAGGAGAAGUAAAGGGAAGUAUUGCUCAAAGAUUGCUCACAUCCCUAAAGUUCAAAUCGAUGAAAAAUUCGUCUUCAAUUCAAAGGAGGAAGAACCGAUUUGAAUUAAUUGCAUUCAAAGCAUGGAGUCAGAUAAUCAUCUCUGUUUCAUUCAAGAUGAUCAUCAAGGAGACAACAACAGUGGCACUCUGUUAUGUUAUCAUAACUUUGUAAGAAAGAUUUAGAAUUGUUACAUAUCCACCAUUGAGAUGAAGAAACAAUUGGAGGCAGAAAUUCGAACUAUUUUGUAUCUCAUUCAAAUCCAGCAGGAAGCAAGUGAAGCAUUGAUUGAAUUCAAAGUUGGAGUAGUCUAUUAGGAUACAAGAAUACUUAAAACAUGAAGCUUAAACAUCUCUCAUGUUUUUGCCUCAAGGACAUUUCAGCAUUUUUUGGUGCAUAAAAACGUAAUUGAAGAAAGUUCUCAAUUCAAAUUCCAAUGUAUGCAAUUAUUGAAACAUAUAUUCGCUUAAGUUCCUUCAUAAUCUUCAUGAUAGCAAAUCAUUUCAGUUUCAAUUCAAAUUCCAAUGAACUGAGUAUCACCUUUGUUGAAAGACAGGAAAAACGUCUUGCAGUCCUUGUUACCAGUAAAGAAUUAAGGCAGCAUUUUUAACAUGAAAAAAAGCAAGUGAUGUUGCUUGUGAUAAGUUACUAUAUACAACCCUAUGACUGUUUCAGCUUGGAUAAGCAAUUCUUGAAUGAGUUAUGAAAUCUCUGUAACAUGACAAGCUCACAUCUUUUUUGUAGAAUCAGAGAGUGCAAAAAUCUCCAAUAUCACAUCUCUUGAACUUCUGGAGAUGAAGAGCUAUUCUGUUCUUGAACCUUUUUCAGACAGGGCUUGCUGGAUAUGUAAAUCUUAUUGUCACACCAUUGCACCAAGAACAUAUUGUGAUGAUAACAGUAAAAAUUGUGGCGACAAAGCAGCAACUGUAGGCUGUAAGAAUUUGGCAAGCUAUGAACUUUUGUUGUUCACAUCUUGUUUUGAUGUGCACACAUAUAUUAUGCAGUAUGUGUGGACAUGAUUGCGUUUUGUGUGAACAUAUGGAUGUUGAUUUUCCAUUUAAGUGCAACUUUCAACUUAUUCAAAGUUGUUAUUUGUUGUUUAGGUGGUCAUAUACAGGCGUUCACCUGAGUUCUUUUUGACUUAAAUGUACAACUUUUC